RNAcentral lists this ribosomal RNA (730 nucleotides) under uncultured archaeon. RNAcentral describes it as "bacterial SSU rRNA". It matches the Rfam family "Archaeal small subunit ribosomal RNA", at positions 52 to 782 of the family's 1478-position model. The record is from RNAcentral.
UGCUAGUCGCGCGGGUUCGGACCCGCGGCGAACAGCUCAGUAACACGUGGCCAAACUACCCUGUGGAGCGGGAUACCCUCGGGAAACUGAAGCCAACCCCGCAUACGGCACGCGCGGUGGAGCACCCGCGUGCCGGAAACACUCCGGUGCCACAGGAUGUGGCUGCGGCCGAUUAGGUCGACGGUGGGGUAACGGCCCACCGUGCCGAUAAUCGGUACGGGUUGUGAGAGCAAGAGCCCGGAGACGGAAUCUGAGACAAGAUUCCGGGCCCUACGGGGCGCAGCAGGCGCGAAACCUUUACACUGCACGCCAGUGCGAUAGGGGGACUCCGAGUGCGAGGGCAUACCGUCCUCGCUUUUCUGUACGGUAAGGACGUACAGGAACAAGGGCUGGGCAAGACCGGUGCCAGCCGCCGCGGUAAUACCGGCAGCCCGAGUGAUGACCGAUCUUAUUGGGCCUAAAGCGUCCGUAGCCGGCCGGGCUAGUCCGUCGGGAAAUCCACGCGCUCAACGCGUGGGCGUCCGGCGGAAACUGUCCGGCUUGGGGCCGGAAGACCCAGGGGGUACGUCCGGGGUAGGAGUGAAAUCCCGUAAUCCCGGACGGACCGCCGAUGGCGAAAGCACCCUGGGAAGACGGACCCGACGGUGAGGGACGAAAGCUGGGGUCUCGAACCGGAUUAGAUACCCGGGUAGUCCCAGCCGUAAACGAUGCUCGCUAGGUGUGGCCCCGG